CAGCAGCCGCCACGGUAAUACGAAGGGGGCUAGCGUUGCUCGGAAUUACUGGGCGUAAAGGGAGCGUAGGCGGACAUUUAAGUCAGGGGUGAAAUCCCAGAGCUCAACUCUGGAACUGCCUUUGAUACUGGGUGUCUUGAGUGUGAUAGAGGUAUGUGGAACUCCGAGUGUAGAGGUGAAAUUCGUAGAUAUUCGGAAGAACACCAGUGGCGAAGGCGACAUACUGGAUCAUUACUGACGCUGAGGCUCGAAAGCGUGGGGAGCAAACAGGAUUAGAUACCCCCGUAGUCCCUGUCUCUUAUAC
This 304-nucleotide ribosomal RNA is filed under the name uncultured bacterium. Its description in RNAcentral is "partial 16S ribosomal RNA". It matches the Rfam family "Bacterial small subunit ribosomal RNA", at positions 509 to 807 of the family's 1533-position model. The record is from RNAcentral.